RNAcentral lists this ribosomal RNA (515 nucleotides) under uncultured Flavobacterium sp. RNAcentral's name for it is "bacterial SSU rRNA". It matches the Rfam family "Bacterial small subunit ribosomal RNA", at positions 8 to 526 of the family's 1533-position model. The record is from RNAcentral. Lineage: Bacteria; Pseudomonadati; Bacteroidota; Flavobacteriia; Flavobacteriales; Flavobacteriaceae.
AGAGUUUGAUCCUGGCUCAGGAUGAACGCUAGCGGCAGGCUUAACACAUGCAAGUCGAGGGGUAUAGUAGCAAUACUAGAGACCGGCGCACGGGUGCGUAACGCGUAUGCAAUCUACCUUUCACAGAGGGAUAGCCCAGAGAAAUUUGGAUUAAUACCUCAUAGUAUAACACGGCCGCAUGGUUGAGUUAUUAAAGAUUUAUCGGUGAAAGAUGAGCAUGCGUCCCAUUAGUUAGUUGGUAAGGUAACGGCUUACCAAGACAGCGAUGGGUAGGGGUCCUGAGAGGGAGAUCCCCCACACUGGUACUGAGACACGGACCAGACUCCUACGGGAGGCAGCAGUGAGGAAUAUUGGACAAUGGGCGCAAGCCUGAUCCAGCCAUGCCGCGUGCAGGAUGACGGUCCUAUGGAUUGUAAACUGCUUUUGCACAGGAAGAAACAACAUUACGUGUAAUGUCUUGACGGUACUGUGAGAAUGAGGAUCGGCUAACUCCGUGCCAGCAGCCGCGGUAAUAC